This 2450-nucleotide long non-coding RNA is filed under the name Anas platyrhynchos platyrhynchos (common mallard). Its description in RNAcentral is "lncRNA (ENSAPLG00000020869.1)". Lineage: Eukaryota; Metazoa; Chordata; Aves; Anseriformes; Anatidae. The record is from RNAcentral.
CUAUUUCCUAUUUUCUAAUUCCCUAUGGGAAUUUUAGAAUAUCCCAUUUAUUUUACCUUACUCAGGUGCAUGUGUAAAAGCUCAAAACUAUAAGGGUUUUUUCUGAAUGCUUAGAUUUGUUCCUAGUGCCGAGUUCCUAGUGAAAGUAUAUAUUUAUUUUUUUUUAGCAGUUAAUGAUUUUUUUACAGCACUUUGAUUUUGAAAUGAACCUGGAGGGUAGAUUACUUCUAGUAACUGAGGAGUAUAUUAUUAAAGUAAUAUAAUUUAGUAUUUUUACUGCUUUUCUGUGUGAAAAAUUAUAAAGAUAAAAAAUAUGGAAGACAAAAAUUGGCAAAGGAAAGACAGAAAAAAGGUGAAGGAAAAGCAAUGAAGUUGGAAAGUUGUAUUAUGGUUGCAAUAGAAAAAAAAAAGUCUACCUCUUAUGAAUAUAUAGGGGGCUGUACAAGACUACAUUAGGUGAGAAUUGUGAUUGGAUUGAUGAGUUCAUAUUAUGUUGCUAAUUCUAUUUUUAAUGCAAAACUAUAAUGCUCCUGAGGUUUAUUUUGUUUUUGUUUUCUUUGUGUAGCAAUGAAAUUUAGUAGGUGUGAUCAUUUAUUGGAGCUGACCUCCCUUUGUCUUAUCCAUUCAGAAUUUUAAAGUCACUUUCAGCGUGAGCCACAGUGCCAGGAAAUUUGUAGGGUUUAUUAUCUCCCUGAUAUGGAUAAAAAGCUGAGAACAAGAUUUAUGGAGAUUAAACACCAUUAUUUAAUGCAACAGUCUGGUUCAAAAGUCUUCAGGAUAAACUACUAACUGAAUGAGCAAAUACUACAAUACGGGAUAUGUGACUUUUCCUCCAACUUGUAAGAUAUCCGCAUUUGCCCUUCUUUCAGGCAGAUGCAUGCCCACCACUCUUCCUACACCACAUGAGUGUUUAUGGAUCUGAAGAAUCAUUUAGUAAAGAAGGGUCUGAUAAAGAAUCUGUCUGCUGAGUUGGGACAUCUGUACACAGCUGAAGAAAGGUAUGUGAUGCAGUUAUUUUCCUAUGUGGAAAAAAUAACUUUGUUUGUUUGUUUGUUUGUUUUGUAUAAUACUAAAAUGGCGUGUGAUAUUUGCUGUUCUUUAGAAUAAGACUGCUAUACUUGAAAAUCAAAACAUUGCAACAUACUUUAUCAACUUGCCUAUAUUCUGAAUCUAUGAAAUUUUAUUUUCUCUUGUUCUUAUUCAAUUUAUGAUUUAUUUUUCUCCCUGUAUAAAUCAGUUUCUAUUCUGUGGAUUCAUGGCAGGUAUUCCAUCUUGUUUUUCAAUAUGCUAUGUCUGGAACAAAUAUCUAGUCAGUCAUGGGCAUAUAAAAUAUUAAUCAUACAUGUUUGAAGGUAUGUUGCUAUAGCAAUUCCUUUAGUGCAAGGAAAAAUCAGAAUAUAGCAGGCCAGGGAUAUGAGAACAGUAGGAAUUACAAAGCUAUAAUAGCACUAUUAACACAUUACUGCAUCGUAAUGAUAUUAUUUCCUAACUGUUCUAGUCCCAAGCUGGCUAAUUUUCAAGAUAGAAUUCUUCAGCAGGGAUUUCAUAAAUGACUCCAACAUAAAAGACAACUGCAAUAUGAAGAAGACAUUAAGUAAUCUGAAGAAAAUGUUUUUAAAAAGAGGAAGUAAACAAACAUAUAAAAUAUCUUCUGUUCACAAUUUACCAUAUCCCUUCUCUUCCUUGUUUCAGUGUGAACAACCCCAAAGGACCAAACAUGACAGAACUGGCAUGAAGAAAAUAGAAAGAUGCUGCUUAAAAGAAAUGUUGUGAGUUCAGCAUGUAAAGAUACAGAGCAAGAAAGCAGGGACAGCCAGAAGGAGAAAUGUUGUAUGGCAGUAAAAUUUCAUCUAACUGGAAUCUAAUCUAACUGGAAAAUUUUAAAACCAAACCAGAAAAGGCAUUGUCUCUGAGAAGACUGUAGCUAUCUGGUGGAGAAAGAAGGCCAUAAGUUACAGUGCAGUUCGUGGAUGAAGAAAGAAUGCCAUAGCAAAUUAAUUGAUCAUGAACAUGAACUGAAGCAUAGUGUGAAUGAGCUGGUAGGAUGUGCAUUUAGCUUGCAUUCAGGCUGCUAACCAUCUGGGUGUACUAGUACUCCCUUCACUGAAGGGAGGUGGGGCAAUGUCAAGCAAUCCCACAUUUAACAUUUAACUCUGUUUGAUCCUUUAUUAACGUCAAUGUUUACACAGUGUUAUAAAACAUCCUGAGUUGCCUGCAACUAAUCUCCCUAUGCUAUGCUCCCUUUUCUAAAGUCCUAAAGCAUAACUGUCUUAAUAUCACUGUUUUUUGACACAUUCUUUAAAGAAAAGAAAGCAUGAAUCCCAUAAACAAAUCAAAAAUGCAGUAGGCCUUUGGAUUUGUUGUGGUGAUUUAAUGUCUGAAUGAACAAGAAAAAAACAUUUAUUUCUAAAUUGAUGAGAUCAAACAAUAAAGAUUUGAUGGAGCUAACA